CGAGUGGCGAACGGGUGAGUAACGCGUAGGAACAUGCCUUAAAGUGGGGGACAACCUGGGGAAACUCAGGCUAAUACCGCAUAAUCUCUGAGGAGAGAAGCUGGGGACCUUUUGGCCUGGCGCUUUAAGAUUGGCCUGCGUACGAUUAGCUAGUUGGUAGGGUAAAGGCUUACCAAGGCGACGAUCGUUAGCUGGUCUGAGAGGAUGAUCAGCCACACUGGGACUGAGACACGGCCCAGACUCC
This 244-nucleotide ribosomal RNA is filed under the name uncultured bacterium. RNAcentral describes it as "partial 16S ribosomal RNA". It matches the Rfam family "Bacterial small subunit ribosomal RNA", at positions 92 to 339 of the family's 1533-position model. The record is from RNAcentral.